RNAcentral lists this long non-coding RNA (6852 nucleotides) under Olea europaea (common olive). Its description in RNAcentral is "long non-coding RNA (OEUR_LNC002630)". Lineage: Eukaryota; Viridiplantae; Streptophyta; Magnoliopsida; Lamiales; Oleaceae. The record is from RNAcentral.
AACUCAACUCAUCUAUUGAUAUUCAGUCAUUAGUCGAGAAUAACUCAAGUGAACUAUGGGGAAUUACAAUUCACCGUGACAAACAUGUUACAUAAUAGAUCUGUUGAGAAGUGUUGACCUACGCCAUUGUGUUAUAGAACCAAAUUAGAACCAUUUACUUGAAUUCUAAUUUCAUUCAACAAUUACAAUAAAACUAAUAUUACCGUUAAAAGUAAAUAAUUAAUUCUCUAUAAAUCAAACAGACAUAUGGAACAAUGAUGAUUAGAAUACCAACCAAAUAGCUAAGCAUCGAAAAACAAUCUACUUCAGUUUCUUGCAAUGGAUAAAUUUCUAUUUACACCUGAUCAUAAGCAGUUUACCUUGAUUGGUUUUCAUGUCUCUUUUUAUAUUUGAAUCAUUAGGCGGUAAAAUUUGGAAUUAGGAAGGGAUAGAUAAAAUCAUUUCUACUAUACGCAUUCCUAGCAACCAGUUACAAAAGAACAACCAACAAGAGUGACAUCAAUCUCCGCUUAGCCCUCUCCCACUAAACACUAAGUUCCCGUAGGCUAUAAUUAUUUUCUUUUCCUUCAAUUUAUGAUAAGUAUUUCUCCCAAUUUACACAAAAUAUCUAUACAUAAUUUUAACUUAUUAUGAGGAUUUGACUGGACAUGUGUCCAAAGAAAGAAGAGAAACAAUACGUACAUGUAUCAUACUUCUUACUUCUAAAAAUGGGAGGAUAUAUAUACUAGGUAAACAUUAAACAAGUAUUGAAUGCUAUAAACUGAUAAAAUGGAUACCACAAGAAACUGUUAUGAAUUAGUAAUACAAGUUGCAAGUAAAAUAUCAUCAUCUAACAAAAGCAGCUAGUAAAGAAACAUGAAACACUCUAGUGAGCUCAAGACUUAAAAAAUGUAUUAAAAAAAAAAAAUCGUAGAAGUCAAUUUUUAAUUUAAAAUAUAUAGCACGUAAAAUAUUCACAAUCAUCUGACCAAAUCGGCUACUCAUCUCCACAUAGUAGGAGCCAAAUAGACAAUAAAAAUAUCACGACAAUAUUAUAAAGCAAAUGCAUGAUAAGAUAAACAAUGAAAUUUCUUCCACAUUACAGCAUUGACUUUAUAAAAGCAAGAAAAUGUAAGCUGCAUUAUUAACAUAGGAACGUGAAACUACCUUUACUUCUUAAUUCAGAGAUCAUUAAGUAACAUCCAAUUUAUCUACAAGUCAAAAGACAUUUUUACUUGGAAGGGUAAACAUAAUCACCCUUAAAAAGCUAAAAAUACACGAUCCUUUAAUACAUAAUCACCACCACUAUUUUGAGUUUUUGAUGAAGAUCCCAAAAUAAAUCUCACAUUAACAGAAUAAUCAGAAUCAAUUUGGGGCCAAAAUUUGUUAGUUUGGGUGUUUAGUUAGUUAGUUCACUAUACCAGUUUUUCCCUCCUAUUUCUAUUUAUUUAAUGUAGAUGUACAGUUCAUUUUUGAGAAUAAGUUGAAUACGAGAUUUUUCAUUUCACCAAUUCUUCUUUAUCCAAUAUGGUAUUAGAGCAAUAGCUUCUUCAGCUUCGCAAUUAAUUCCAUCUGAUUUGUCAUGGCAGAGAUUACAAAUCAGAUUUAGCAAGAUCAAAAUUCAUCUUCAUCAAUGAGUCAUUCCGCCGUUGAUGAUGUUUCCAGCCCGCAUUAUCUUCACCACUUAGAUAGUCCUGGACUCAUUCUGGUCUCAUAGCAGUUGCAUGUGAGAAUUACACUUCCCGGAAUCGAGCUAAGACUAUAGUAUUAUCAGUAAAGAACAAAUUGGGUUUUGUUGAUGGAUCCAUCACUCGACCUGAAAGUAAUACUAAACUCCUUAAUUCCUGGAUCCGUAACAAUAAUAUUGUUAUUUCUUGGAUUCUCAAUUCCAUAUCAAAGGAGAUUUUAGCUAGUAUAAUCUACUCAGAAUUUGCUCAUGAGAUUUGGACCGAUCUCAAAAAGAGAUUUCAACAAAGAAAUGGUCCUCGAAUCUUUCAAUUAAGACGUGAAUUGAUGAACCAUACACAAGGACAACAAUCUGUCAGUGCUUAUUUUACCAAAUUAAAAACCAUUUGGGAAGAACUAAGUAACUAUAGACCAUCGUGUUCCUGUGGAAAAUGUAAUUAUGGAGGCAACAAGAAGUUAGCUGAGCAUUAUCGCAUGGAAUAUAUGAUGUCAUUCCUAAUGGGAUUGAAUGACUCCUAUGCCCAAGUCAGGGCACAAUUGUUGCUUAUGGAUCCAAUUCCACCAAUAAACAAGGUAUUUUCACUCAUCUCAUAGGAGGAACACCAAAGAGCCGUUAACAUGAGCACCGAAGCCACUGAUUCCUUGGCGUUCUAAGCUAAAAAUGAUGUUAGAAGGGCAGGCACGGUGCAAUCUUACAAUAAGAAUCCAAAAAAGGACAGACCGGUUUGUACAUAUUGUGGAUAUGGAGGACACGUGGUUGAUAAAUGUUACAAACUCCAUGGAUAUCCUCCAAGAUAUAAGCCAAAGUAGAAAUCUGGUCCAAGCAAUCAAGCAGGUUACAACUGUCACUCAAAUAAUGUUGUUGCUAAUCAAAUUUUUGGUUCUGUUCCAAAUCAAUCUCAUGGCAACAUUGAAGACUUCAUGCAACAUUGAGUUUUGAUCAAUGACAACAUCUAAUGAGUACGUUGAGUGCACAUCUCACCACUGCUAAAGUAGAAGAUGAAGGAAAUAAUGCAGAUCAUGUGUCAGGUAUAUGUCUAUCUGUUUCCAUUAGUCCAAUAGUCAACUCUCCUGAGCACUGGGUGUUAGAUUCAGGAGCAACUAGUCAUGUUUGUUUCAGACGUGCAUGCUUUCAAACUUUAAAAGCAGUACAAAAUGCCUACAUUACACUACCUAAUCAUGCCAGAAUACCUGUACAUUUUGUUGGAAGUGUUAAGCUUACCCCUGAUUUAGUACUUGAGGACGUGUUAUUUGUACCUCAGUUCUAGAUAAAUUUGUUAUCUAUUAGUGCAUUAACCAGAAACUCAUAUAUGAGCAUCAGGUUUCUCACUGAUCAUUGUGAUAUUCAGGACCUAUACAGCUUGAAGAUGGCUGGCAGGGGUAAAAGAAUUGGUGGUCUUUACAUCUUUGAUGCAACACGUAGUGAGAUGAAAAUUCAAUGUAAUUCCUCAAAAUCUGUUUGUAUUUUUGGUCCUAUUGUAGUGCAUAAUGUAAACUCUUACACUUAGCAUAAUAGACUCAGUCAUUUGUCCUUUAAAAGACUGGAGUAUUUGAAGGAUCAGUUGCAUUUUAAGAAUGACAUUAAAAAUGUUGAUGUCCCAUGUUCAAUUUCUCCACUUGCUAAGCAAAGGCAGUUGUCAUUUGUUUCACACAAUCACUUAUCCCCCAAUGCAUUUGAUCUUAUUCAUGGUGAUAUUUGGGGCCCCUAUAGUUCUCCAACACGUGAUGGACACAGAUAUUUUCUCACAUUAGUUGAAGAUUGUACAAGAUUUACUUGGGUUUAUCUUCUGAAGCAAAAGUCAGAUGUUCUUGCUAUCAUUCCUAAGUUUUUCAACUUGAUUGAAACACAAUUUCAGAAAGUUAUUAAAGGCUUUAGGUCUGAUAAUGCUCCUGAGUUACGUUUCAUGGAAUUUUUUAGUUCAAAGGGUGUACUCCAUCAAUUUUCAUGCAUAGAAAGACCUGAAUAGAAUUCCGUUGUUGAGAGAAAGCAGCAUCUACUUAAUGUGGCUAGGGCUAUAUUCUUCCAGUUCUGGGGAGAUUGUGUUCUCACAGCAACUUAUCUAAUCAAUCGAACUCCAUCACAAGUCAUACAAAACCAGACACCAUAUUCCUUGCUAUACAAAACCCCAGUAGACUAUGAUUUCCUCAAGGUAUUUGGAAGCCUAUGUUUUGCAUCAACCCUUACAUCUCAUCGCCUUAAAUUUCAUCCUAGAGUAAGGGCCUGUGUAUUCAUUGGUUACCAUCAUGGUAUCAAGGGAUACAAAUUGUGUGAUAUUGCUUCCAAAAUCGUCUUUAUGUCCAGAGAUGUAGUGUUCCAUGAGAACAUCUUUCCCUUCCAUACUAUCUCUACCUCUCACGAAAUCAUUGACAACUUUCCCAAUCUUGUUCUACCUAAAUCUACUCCUGAUAUACCUACUCAAGGCCUAACUAAUGAUCUUACUCCCGACUGCCCUCCACCCUCAGAGUCCAUUACAAUCUCAUCUACAACUCCAGUUCAGCAAAACCCCAGGAGAUCACUUAGGACUAGUAGAACCCCCUUCAUAUUUACAAGAUUACCAUUGUAAUCUUUUAGCUAACUCCCCUAUUUCUCAGUCUUCAUCUCAAUAUCCUUUAAGUAAUUACCUUACCUACACAAAAUCAUCUAAGUCUCAUAAUAACCUCCUCUUCAAUAACUCCUCAAACUUUGAACCUCAAUUUUACCACCAAGCUGUGAAAUAUGAUCAAUGGAAGGAUGCCAUGGCUAAUGAAUUGGAUGCAAUGGAAUUAAAUAAGACCUGGACAGUCACUAGUUUGCCUAAAGGAAAGCAUGCUAUAGGCUACAAAUGGGUGUACAAAAUCAAGUAUAAAUCUGAUGGAAGUGUUGACAGAUACAAAGCACGUUUAGUUGCUAAAGGGUACACUCAAUAGGAAAGGGUAGACUUCAUAGAAACUUUCUCCAGUUGCAAAAUUGGUGACUGUGAAACUCCUUCUUGCCAUAGCAGCUAUCAACAAGUUGCAUGUCAUUCAAUUGUAUGUCAAUAAUGCUUUUCUUCAUGGGGGAUCUCUUGGAGGAAAUCUAUAUGGAUUUAUCAUUGGGUUAUGACCCUCCCAUUCCUUCAGGCAAAUAGGGGGAGCAUUUGGUAUGUAAACUACUUAAAUCCAUAUAUGGACCAAAGCAGGUCCCACGAUAAUGGUUUUCAAAAUUUUCUCAUGCCCUCUUGUUACAUGGCUUCCACCAAUCCAAGUUCGAUUACUAUUCAUUCACUAAAGGUUGUGGCACUGAUUUUGUUGCAUUGCUUGUGUAUGCUGAUGACAUAGUCAUCACAUGUUCAAAUCUUCAAGUCAUUGAAUCUUUCAAAUCAUUCCUUCAUGGUCAGUUUAAGCUUAAAGAUCUUGGUAAGCUUAAAUAUUUUCUUGGAUUGGAGAUCGCAAGGUCACAUCGAGGAAUUGUUCUAUCACAAAGACACUAUGCUCCUUAGUUACUUGAAGACACGGUAUUUCUUGGCUGCAAGCCUGCCACAUUACCUAUGGAUCCCAAAGUUCGGCUGUGCUCCUUGAGGGGGAGCUACUAGAAGAUAGUUCUAUGUACAGAAGAUUAAUUGACCAUCUACUUUACCUAACCAUUUCCAGACCAGAUAUUAUAUUUGCUGUUCACAAACUUAGUCAGUUUGUAUCUCAACCGCGGAAGCCUCAUUUAACAGCCGUUCAUCACCUACUUCAAUACAUCAAGGGAACUCCGGGCAAAGGUCUUUUGUUCUCUGCUAAAUCAUCUUUGCAAUUGCGUGCCUUUAGUGAUGCAGAUUGGGGCUCUCAUGUCUAGACUCUAGAAAAUCUGUCACUGGUUUCUGUGUAUUUCUUGGGGACUCUAUGGUGUCUUGGAAGGCUAAAAAGCAAAGCACAGUAUCAAGAUCAUUUGCUGAAGCCGAAUAUUGUGCAUUGGCUUCUAUUGCCAGUGAACUUGCAUGGAUACAUCAAUUACUUCUUGAUUUUCACAUAAAAUCUGAGGGUCUAGCUAUGAUCUUUUGUGAUAAUCAAGCUGCUGUACAUAUUGCCAACAAUCCCAUUUUCCAUGAAAGAACCAAACACAUAAAGAUAGACUGCCACUUUCUGAGAGAUAAGAUAAAUGAUGGUUGCAUCAAGCUGCUUCCAGUUCGAAGUAAUCAUCAACUUGCUGAUAUCUUUACAAAACCGUUACCAGCAACCUCACUGUUCGAUUUAUUGUCCAAGAUGGCUGUCAUCAAUUUGCACAAUCCAUCUUGAGGGGGAGUAACAGAAUAACCGGAAUCAAUUUGGCGCCAAAAUUUGUUAGUUUGGUUGUUUAGUUAGUUAGUUCACUGUACAAGUUUUUCCCGCCUAUUUCUUUCUAUUUAAUGUAGAUGUACAGUUCAUUUUCGGGAAUAAGUUGAAUACGAGAUUUUUCAUUUCACCAAUUCUUCUUUAUCCAAUACAUAUCACAAACACAAAACACAAAUCAAUUAUCCAAAACAAAUUUACAAAUCACAUAUUGACAAAAUCAAAAAUCCAAGAGAGCAUAAAAACGACCAACACGUUACAAAAGCAAACGAAUUCACCCAUUCAAAAAUCACAAAUAACAGGUUUUCAGAUUCAUAAAUUCAUGUAUUCAUCGUUCACGAAGGCUAAAAUCAUAAUUAAUGGAACGAAGUCAGUGGACGAGAAGAAAAAUUACUAAAUCAAAACUCUUAAUGUAUUGAUCUUAUCAUUGUUUAGGGCUUCAACUGCAAUUGACGAUCAACUGUGGAGGACUGGAAACAAGUAGAAACAACAAGAGAUGGGAGCAAGCUGAAUCGUUUUCUAUUUUCCCUUUCCAAUCGUUUGCAGUUUUGCAGAUUGUGAUUUUUCCUUUCCAAUCGUUGAAUCACCGAUAGGAGGGAGUCAGCUGUGGGAUUUUCAAUUGUGGGGUUACUGGGUUUUGCUUCAACGUUAGGUAAUGAGAAGUGGGAGGUUCCUCUCGAGUACUUUUCCUUCCCAAUCGUUGAAUUGGCAGCAAAAGGGAGUCAAGGUCGGGGUUUUGAAUCGUCGGGAUAGUGGGUUUUGCUUUAGCGUGGGUAAUGCGAGGUGAUAUGUUCUCUCGUGAAUGUUGAUGCCAGGGGUUGGUUGUUUCUAUUGAACUGCUGGUUUAUCCCUAAAAUCGUGGUUUGGUUUUGGGUUUGUUAAUUUUUUAAUUUUUUUUUUUUGUUUUUCCAAAAU